CCUACGGGUGGCAGCAGUGAGGAAUAUUGGUCAAUGGACGAGAGUCUGAACCAGCGAAGUAGCGUGAAGGAUGACUGCCCUAUGGGUUGUAAACUUCUUUUAUAAAGGAAUAAAACGAGGCACGUGUGCCUUUUUGCAUGUACUUUAUGAUUAAGGAUCGGCUAAUUCCGGGCCAGCAGCCGCGGUAAUACGGAGGAACCGGGCGUUAUCCGGAUUUAUUGGGUGUAAAGGGAGCGUAGAUGGGUUGUUAAGUUAGAUGUGAAAGUUUGCGGCUCAACCGUAAAAUUGCAAUUGAUACUGGCAAUCUUGAGUACAGGUGAGGUAAGCGGAAUUCGUGGUGUAGCGGUGAAAUGCUUAGAUAUCACGAAGAACCCCGAUUGCGAAGGCAGCUUACUAAACUGUGACUGACAUUGAUGCUCGAAAGUGUGGGUAUCAAACAGGAUUAGAUACCCGAGUAGUC
Molecule: ribosomal RNA, 460 nt
Filed under: uncultured bacterium
Lineage: Bacteria
Description: partial 16S ribosomal RNA
Rfam family: Bacterial small subunit ribosomal RNA
Source: RNAcentral